GACGAACGCUGGCGGCAUGCCUAAUACAUGCAAGUCGAGCGAACAGAUGAAGUGCUCGCACUUCUGACGUUAGCGGCGAACGGGUGAGUAACACGUAAGGAAUCUACCUAUAAGCGGGGGAUAACAUUCGGAAACGGGUGCUAAUACCGCAUAAUAUCUUCUUCCGCAUGGAAGAAGAUUGAAAGACGGCUCUGCUGUCACUUAUAGAUGACCUUGCGGUGCAUUAGUUAGUUGGUGGGGUAACGGCCUACCAAGACGAUGAUGCAUAGCCGACCUGAGAGGGUGAUCGGCCACAUUGGGACUGAGACACGGCCCAAACUCCGACGGGAGGCAGCAGUAGGGAAUCUUCCGCAAUGGGCGAAAGCCUGACGGAGCAAUGCCGCGUGAGUGAAGAAGGCCUUCGGGUCGUAAAACUCUGUUAUAAGAGAAGAACAAAUUGUAGAGUAACUGCUACAGUCUUGACGGUAUCUUAUCAGAAAGCCACGGCUAACUACGUGCCAGCAGCCGCCGUAA
Molecule: ribosomal RNA, 513 nt
Filed under: uncultured bacterium
Lineage: Bacteria
Description: partial 16S ribosomal RNA
Rfam family: Bacterial small subunit ribosomal RNA
Source: RNAcentral